This 371-nucleotide small RNA is filed under the name Arabidopsis thaliana (thale cress). Its description in RNAcentral is "ATSL020470". The record is from RNAcentral. Lineage: Eukaryota; Viridiplantae; Streptophyta; Magnoliopsida; Brassicales; Brassicaceae.
ACAGAUCUACAUGUAAUUUACCGUGCACUUUAAAAUUUUAGUUUGAACAUAAUGAAUGUGCAUAUUGUGUAAAUGUGUGUCACUUUUUGUUUUUUAUAUUUUGGCUGCUUGAAUUUGGUUUGGAUAUGUCAAUUAUGGAUGAAGUCUUUAGAUUUUGGGCUCGAUUCUUCACAUUUAUUAUGUUUGCUUGAUUUUUUUUCUUUAGUAACUGGGCGGGAGACUUUUUUUCUUUGGUAACUGGGCGGGAGACUCUGUCUCCCGUUUUUAUUCAAAGCAAGAAAAAAAAAUUCUACAAGAAUUCGCUUUGAUCGUACGGACCUGAAAUUAUCCUCCCUCCAUAUUAAAUCUACAAUACUCGGAACAAUAGUAAA